This 502-nucleotide ribosomal RNA is filed under the name uncultured bacterium. Its description in RNAcentral is "bacterial SSU rRNA". It matches the Rfam family "Bacterial small subunit ribosomal RNA", at positions 28 to 517 of the family's 1533-position model. The record is from RNAcentral.
GAUGAACGCUAGCUACAGGCUUAACACAUGCAAGUCGAGGGGAAACGAUAUUGGAAGCUUGCUUCUGAUAGGCGUCGACCGGCGCACGGGUGAGUAACGCGUAUCCAACCUGCCCAUCACUUGGGGAUAACCUUGUGAAAGUAAGACUAAUACCCAAUGACGUCUCUAGAAGACAUCUGAAAGAGAUUAAAGAUUUAUCGGUGAUGGAUGGGGAUGCGUCUGAUUAGCUUGUUGGCGGGGUAACGGCCCACCAAGGCGACGAUCAGUAGGGGUUCUGAGAGGAAGGUCCCCCACAUUGGAACUGAGACACGGUCCAAACUCCUACGGGAGGCAGCAGUGAGGAAUAUUGGUCAAUGGACGAGAGUCUGAACCAGCCAAGUAGCGUGCAGGAAGACGGCCCUAUGGGUUGUAAACUGCUUUUAUAAGGGAAUAAAGUGAGUCUCGUGAGACUUUUUGCAUGUACCUUAUGAAUAAGGACCGGCUAAUUCCGUGCCAGCAGCCG